ACAGCAGCCGCCACGGGAAUACAGAGGGUGCGAGCGUUAAUCGGAUUUACUGGGCGUAAAGCGUGCGUAGGCGGCUUCUUAAGUCGGAUGUGAAAUCCCUGAGCUUAACUUAGGAAUUGCAUUCGAUACUGGGAAGCUAGAGUAUGGGAGAGGAUGGUAGAAUUCCAGGUGUAGCGGUGAAAUGCGUAGAGAUCUGGAGGAAUACCGAUGGCGAAGGCAGCCAUCUGGCCAAAUACUGACGCUGAGGUACGAAAGCAUGGGGAGCAAACAGGAUUAGAUACCCGCGUAGUCCCUGUCUCUUAUAC
Molecule: ribosomal RNA, 305 nt
Filed under: uncultured bacterium
Lineage: Bacteria
Description: partial 16S ribosomal RNA
Rfam family: Bacterial small subunit ribosomal RNA
Source: RNAcentral